UCUGGCUCAGGACGAACGCUGGCGGCGUGCUUAACACAUGCAAGUCGAACGGUAAGGCCCUUCGGGGUACACGAGUGGCGAACGGGUGAGUAACACGUGGGUGAUCUGCCCUGCACUUCGGGAUAAGCCCGGGAAACUGGGUCUAAUACCGGAUAGGACUGCGCGGUGCAUGCCGUGUGGUGGAAAGAUUUAUCGGUGCAGGAUGGGCCCGCGGCCUAUCAGCUUGUUGGUGGGGUAAUGGCCUACCAAGGCGACGACGGGUAGCCGGCCUGAGAGGGCGACCGGCCACACUGGGACUGAGACACGGCCCAGACUCCUACGGGAGGCAGCAGUGGGGAAUAUUGCACAAUGGGCGCAAGCCUGAUGCAGCGACGCCGCGUGAGGGAUGACGGCCUUCGGGUUGUAAACCUCUUUCAGCAGGGACGAAGCGCAAGUGACGGUACCUGCAGAAGAAGCACCGGCCAACUACGUGCCAGCAGCCGCGGUAAUACGUAGGGUGCAAGCGUUGUCCGGAAUUACUGGGCGUAAAGAGCUCGUAGGCGGUUUGUCGCGUCGUCUGUGAAAACCAGCAGCUCAACUGUUGGCUUGCAGGCGAUACGGGCAGACUUGAGUAUUUCAGGGGAGACUGGAAUUCCUGGUGUAGCGGUGAAAUGCGCAGAUAUCAGGAGGAACACCGGUGGCGAAGGCGGGUCUCUGGGAAAUAACUGACGCUGAGGAGCGAAAGCGUGGGUAGCGAACAGGAUUAGAUACCCUGGUAGUCCACGCCGUAAACGGUGGGCGCUAGGUGUGGGUUUCCUUCCACGGGAUCCGUGCCGUAGCUAACGCAUUAAAGCGCCCCCGCC
RNAcentral lists this ribosomal RNA (842 nucleotides) under Rhodococcoides corynebacterioides. RNAcentral describes it as "bacterial SSU rRNA". It matches the Rfam family "Bacterial small subunit ribosomal RNA", at positions 18 to 873 of the family's 1533-position model. The record is from RNAcentral. Lineage: Bacteria; Bacillati; Actinomycetota; Actinomycetes; Mycobacteriales; Nocardiaceae.